CACUAAGAGAGGUUUGCUCUUAGCAGUACCUGCCCAGUGCAAAGUUGUAAACGGCCGCCCUAGCGUGAGGGUGCCAAGGUAGCGAAAUUCCUUGCCUUUUAAUUGUAGGCCUGCAUGAAUGGAUUGACGAGGGUCAAACUGUCUCUUGCUUUGUAUGACGAAAUUGGACUGAAGGUGAAGAUACCUUCAUGUAAAAGUUAGACAAGAAGACCCCGUGCAGCUUUUAAAAAUUUACUUAUUAAGGGUUGUAAGAUUUUUAGGUGGGGCGCCUAGGAAGUAAAACUUAACCUUCUUAUUUGUUAAAAGUAACUGUCUGGUGUAGACCCGGCAAGUCCGAUCAUGGGAGAAGUUACGCCGGGGAUAACAGGCUUAUCCAUUAGUAGAGCUCGUAUUGGCUAAUGGGAUUGGCACCUCGAUGUUGAAUUAAGGAUGAUAUCUCUAAGGCGUAGAGGCUUUGGAAGUGGGUCUGUUCGACCUUUAAUACCUU
RNAcentral lists this ribosomal RNA (487 nucleotides) under Saccostrea sp. KKL-2003. RNAcentral describes it as "partial 16S ribosomal RNA". It matches the Rfam family "Bacterial large subunit ribosomal RNA", at positions 1832 to 2597 of the family's 2925-position model. Lineage: Eukaryota; Metazoa; Mollusca; Bivalvia; Ostreida; Ostreidae. The record is from RNAcentral.